CACUCCUGCGGGAGGCAGCAGUGGGGAAUUUUGGACAAUGGGCGAAAGCCUGAUCCAGCAAUGCCGCGUGAGUGAAGAAGGCCUUCGGGUUGUAAAGCUCUUUUGUCAGGGAAGAAACGGUGAAAGCUAAUAUCUUUUGCUAAUGACGGUACCUGAAGAAUAAGCACCGGCUAACUACGUGCCAGCAGCCGCGGUAAUACGUAGGGUGCAAGCGUUAAUCGGAAUUACUGGGCGUAAAGCGUGCGCAGGCGGUUUUGUAAGUCUGAUGUGAAAUCCCCGGGCUCAACCUGGGAAUUGCAUUGGAGACUGCAAGGCUAGAAUCUGGCAGAGGGGGGUAGAAUUCCACGUGUAGCAGUGAAAUGCGUAGAUAUGUGGAGGAACACCGAUGGCGAAGGCAGCCCCCUGGGUCAAGAUUGACGCUCAUGCACGAAAGCGUGGGGAGCAAACAGGAUUAGAUACCCGAGUAGUCCCAUG
This 474-nucleotide ribosomal RNA is filed under the name uncultured organism. Its description in RNAcentral is "partial 16S ribosomal RNA". It matches the Rfam family "Bacterial small subunit ribosomal RNA", at positions 334 to 799 of the family's 1533-position model. The record is from RNAcentral.